CCUACGGGUGGCAGCAGUGGGGAAUAUUGGGCAAUGGAGGCAACUCUGACCCAGCAACGCCGCGUGAAUGAUGAAGGUCUUCGGAUCGUAAAACCCUGUUGUUAGAGAAGAAAGUGCGUGAGAGUACCUGAAGAAAAAGCAUCGGCUAACUCCGUGCCAGCAGCCGCGGUAAUACGGAGGAUGCGAGCGUUAUCCGGAUUUAUUGGGUUUAAAGGGUGCGUAGGCGGAAUGCCAAGUCAGCGGUAAAAUCGCGGGGCUCAACCUCGCUCCGCCGUUGAAACUGGCGUUCUUGAGUGGGCGAGAAGUAUGCGGAAUGCGUGGUGUAGCGGUGAAAUGCAUAGAUAUCACGCAGAACUCCGAUUGCGAAGGCAGCAUACCGGCGCCCAACUGACGCUCAUGCACGAAAGCGUGGGUAUCGAACAGGAUUAGAUACCCGGGUAGUC
Molecule: ribosomal RNA, 443 nt
Filed under: uncultured bacterium
Lineage: Bacteria
Description: partial 16S ribosomal RNA
Rfam family: Bacterial small subunit ribosomal RNA
Source: RNAcentral